This 238-nucleotide unclassified non-coding RNA is filed under the name rhizosphere metagenome. Its description in RNAcentral is "partial ribosomal RNA internal transcribed spacer region". The record is from RNAcentral.
GUAGGUGAACCUGCGGAAGGAUCAUUACCAAAUCCAAAACUUUAUCAACACCAAACAAGUGAACUGAGAAUGGUUUCGUUCCCCUCUGCAUGUGCAUACAAUGUGUUUCCACAUUCGUGCGUGUGCGAAGGGGGAUGUUUUUUUUUUCAACCCCUUUUCAACCUCUUACAAUCUUUUAUGCUGAAAGCAAAAAAAACGAAACAUGAGACAACUUUUAACGGUGGAUCUCUUGGCUCGU